This 775-nucleotide ribosomal RNA is filed under the name uncultured Neocallimastigales. RNAcentral's name for it is "partial large subunit ribosomal RNA". It matches the Rfam family "Eukaryotic large subunit ribosomal RNA", at positions 22 to 637 of the family's 3401-position model. Lineage: Eukaryota; Fungi; Neocallimastigomycota; Neocallimastigomycetes; Neocallimastigales. The record is from RNAcentral.
GUACACGCUGUGACUAGCAUAUCAAUAAGCGGAGGAAAAGAAACUAACAAGGAUUCCCCUAGUAACGGCGAGUGAAGCGGGAAGAGCUCAAAUUUGAAAUCUUAAAGGGUUUCCCUUUACGAAUUGUAGUUUAAAGAAGUGUUUUCUGUUGAGGUUUUGGUAAAAGUUCUUUGGAAUAGGACAUCAUAGAGGGUGAGAAUCCCGUAUUUGACCUUUACUUUCAACUUUGUGAUACACUUUCAAAGAGUCGGAUUGUUUGGGAAUGCAGUCCAAAAUGGGUGGUAAAUCUCAUCUAAAGCUAAAUAUUGGCGAGAGACCGAUAGCGAACAAGUACCGUGAGGGAAAGAUGAAAAGAACUUUGAAAAGAGAGUUAAACAGUACGUGAAAUUGUCAAAAGGGAAGCGUUUAACACCAGUGUUGUUUUUCUGAAAAUCAAUUAAAGAACUGUUUAUGCUAAGUUGUUUAGACUUUAUCAGCUAACUGUUUAGUUUUGAGCUUUUCUUUAAUGCACUUUUCAGUUAACAAGUCAACAUCAAUUUCUUUUGCUGUAAAAAAGCUUGAGGAAGGUGGCUUGAGAUUCGUCUUAAGUGUUUAUAGCCUCUUGCCUAUGCAGUCGGAGAGAUUGAGGUCUGCAGCGUAGAUCCUUCGGGGCUAAAUGCAUUUGUGCUAAGUUAUAGGCAUUUCAUAGACAACUUGUUGACUAUGAUUUGUCUUGUAGCUUACUCGCUUAUGUUAUUUUACCUACGCUUAGGAUGUUGACAGCAGUAUAGACUGU